RNAcentral lists this ribosomal RNA (407 nucleotides) under uncultured Corynebacterium sp. Its description in RNAcentral is "bacterial SSU rRNA". It matches the Rfam family "Bacterial small subunit ribosomal RNA", at positions 75 to 497 of the family's 1533-position model. Lineage: Bacteria; Bacillati; Actinomycetota; Actinomycetes; Mycobacteriales; Corynebacteriaceae. The record is from RNAcentral.
CCUGCUUGCAGGGUACUCGAGUGGCGAACGGGUGAGUAACACGUGGGUGAUCUGCCCUGCACUUCGGGAUAAGCCUGGGAAACUGGGUCUAAUACCGGAUAGGAGCCAUUUUUAGUGUGAUGGUUGGAAAGUUUUUUCGGUGUAGGAUGAGCUCGCGGCCUAUCAGCUUGUUGGUGGGGUAAUGGCCUACCAAGGCGGCGACGGGUAGCCGGCCUGAGAGGGUGGACGGCCACAUUGGGACUGAGAUACGGCCCAGACUCCUACGGGAGGCAGCAGUGGGGAAUAUUGCACAAUGGGCGCAAGCCUGAUGCAGCGACGCCGCGUGGGGGAUGACGGCCUUCGGGUUGUAAACUCCUUUCGCUAGGGACGAAGCUUUUUGUGACGGUACCUAGAUAAGAAGCACCGGC